RNAcentral lists this ribosomal RNA (503 nucleotides) under uncultured bacterium. RNAcentral describes it as "partial 16S ribosomal RNA". It matches the Rfam family "Bacterial small subunit ribosomal RNA", at positions 28 to 523 of the family's 1533-position model. The record is from RNAcentral.
GAUGAACGCUGGCGGCGUGCUUAACACAUGCAAGUCGAACGAUUAAAGCCCCUUCGGGGGUGUAUAGAGUGGCGAACGGGUGAGUAACACGUGGGCAACCUGCCCUGCGCUUCGGGAUAACUCAGGGAAACCUGAGCUAAUACCGGAUACUCCUUGAGGAUCGCAUGGUCUUCUCGGGAAAGUUCCGGCGGCGCAGGAUGGGCCCGCGGCCCAUUAGCUUGUUGGUGAGGUAACGGCUCACCAAGGCGACGAUGGGUAGCCGAGCUGAGAGGGUGAUAGGCCACACUGGGACUGAGACACGGCCCAGAGUCCUACGGGAGGCAGCAGUAGGGAAUCUUCCACAAUGGACGAAAGUCUGAUGGAGCAACGCCGCGUGUGUGAUGAAGGCUUUCGGGUCGAAAAGCACUGUUGUAUGGGAAGAAAUGCUAGGCUAGGAAAUGAGCUUAGUUUGACGGUACCAUACCAGAAAGGGACGGCUAAAUACGUGCCAGCCGCCGCAGUAA